RNAcentral lists this ribosomal RNA (345 nucleotides) under uncultured eukaryote. Its description in RNAcentral is "SSU rRNA". It matches the Rfam family "Eukaryotic small subunit ribosomal RNA", at positions 594 to 945 of the family's 1831-position model. The record is from RNAcentral.
AUAGCGUAUAUUAAAGUUGUUGCAGUUAAAAAGCUCGUAGUUGAACCUUGGGUCUGGCUGGUCGGUCCGCCUCACCGCGUGUACUGGUCCGGCCGGACCUUUCCUUCUGGGGAGUCGCAUGCCCUUCACUGGGUGUGUCGAGGAUCCAGGACUUUUACUUUGAAAAAAUUAGAGUGUUCAAAGCAGGCCUAUGCUCGAAUACAUUAGCAUGGAAUAAUAGAAUAGGACGGCGGUUCUAUUUUGUUGGUUUCUAGAGCCACCGUAAUGAUUAAUAGGGAUAGUCGGGGGCAUCAGUAUUCAAUUGUCAGAGGUGAAAUUCUUGGAUUUAUUGAAGACUAACUACUG